CUGGGCCACGAGUGGGAGUCACGAUUAUUGGGCCUAAGGCGUCCGUAGCCUGUUUUGCAAAUCUUUUGUGAAAUUGCCGAGCUUAACUCGGCAGCGUGCAGAAGAGACUACAAGACUUGGAACCAGAAGGAGUCAGAAGGAUGCUGGGGGGAGCGGUAAAAUGCUAUAAUCCCCGGUAGACUACCUGUGGCGAAGGCGUCUGACUAGGAUGGAUUCGACGGUGAGGGACGAAAGCUAGGGGAGCGAUCCGGAUUAGAUACCCGAGUAGUCC
This 271-nucleotide ribosomal RNA is filed under the name uncultured archaeon. RNAcentral describes it as "partial 16S ribosomal RNA". It matches the Rfam family "Archaeal small subunit ribosomal RNA", at positions 477 to 747 of the family's 1478-position model. The record is from RNAcentral.